This is a long non-coding RNA of Triticum aestivum (bread wheat), 742 nucleotides long. RefSeq lists it as uncharacterized. NCBI's taxonomy places the organism in Eukaryota, Viridiplantae, Streptophyta, Magnoliopsida, Poales, Poaceae. The record is from RefSeq and is a predicted model, not a curated record. The transcript has 4 exons.
GAUGCCCUUCCGAUGGCGAUGCAGAUCGAGGCGAAGCGGCCGAUCGAUAGGGAUCCUCUCAGACGUUCCAGGCAGAGGCGAUUCGUCGCAGCUGAUGUGGCAGGUCAAGGCGAAGCGUCGCUGCGACCGCCGCUGUCGAUUGAAGUCUCUCCGGCCUCCGCUGAAAUUAAUGGAGGUUAAAUAAAUUACUGAAAAAGCUUUGCAAAUCAUUAACAACUAGGCUUGACGCCAAAAGGGUAGGAUCCUUCACAAAAUAUCUCCUACUGGUUAGUGAGGUGAAGGAUGUGUUGUACUCUGAAGAAAUCGUCUUGGGGUCAACCACAUGCCAGACUCUGAUUGACGUUCAAAGUGGAGGACCUCCAGAACUAGGCCCAGCAAUUUGAAAGUUGAAACCUAAGACCUCACUUCACCGAAAACAGCUUCAGCCCGGAGGAAGGCUGCGGGAUCAUCAGAAAUCCAAACGCAGUUAACAACUAACUCGACUCCAGUCGAUGAUGACAAUGUGAUAAACUACUACACCCUCAUGAAGGAAGUGUGACAGAAUCAUAACCAGGGACAUCCAGUUGGCAUCGCAAUCCAUUUUGCAAGCCAAAAAUAGCAGCUUAUGUGUGCUCAACUAUAAUACUGAGGUUGGUGUGCUGUUAUAUGAAUGUCUACUACCUUAAUAGAGUUUGUGAGAGUUUAUAACGUCUUGACAUUGUAUAAUCCUUAAUGGUUGUAAAGAGUUGUGUGUACUCAGAAA